AGUCCCAGUUACUCGGGACUACUCGGGAGGCUGAGGCAGGAGAAUGGCGUGAACCCGGGAGGCGGAGUUUGCAGUGAGCCGAGAUCGCGCCACUGCACUCCAGUCUGGGCGACAGAGCGAGACUCCGACUCAAAAAAAAAAAAAAAAAAAAUAGCUGGCUGCUUUUGUGGAGUCUUCCUGCUGAGUUGCUGGUGGUGGGGUGAAAAUUUGAGUGCUUACUAUGUGCCAGGAGCCUGCUGAGGGCCUCACCUAUAUUGUGUGAUUUCAUCCCGUCAGCACCCUUUGAUGUGGGGACUGUUGUUCCCUAUCCUGGUGUUACAAAUGUGGGCACCGGGUAUAGGAGGUCAGGUACCUCGCCAGAGGUUACAGUUUGUAAGUGGUGGUACUGGGACUGGAACUCGUUCUGGCAAACUUCAAAGCUGGUGUUUUUAGCCAUCAAGGGGAUUCGAGGGUGCCAUGGGGGUGUGGACGCAUGAGGGGCCUUAAGGUCCAUUAGACCAAAACAUUAUGUGUCUGGGAAAAAGGAUGCCCUCUCCUCCCAAGGAAAAGCUUCUUCUGAAUGAGACACAGUGGAGAGGUUAGCCCGGGGCCCGGCUGAGGGGCGCAGGCAGGAUGCCAACGGAUGGAAACCCUCAGAAGGGCAAAGCCGGUGUUCCGUCGUUUGAAGACCUGCAGACCCGCGGGACAGGCAGACGCAGCGCGGUCAGGGAGCGUCGGCUUCGCCGAGCUCUGCGGCGGAGCUGGGGGACGGAACAGCGCGCCGGUCCCUGGGCGGGCGCGAGCAGGAGGGCGGUGUGGGGCGGUGCUCGGCGGCGGGGGCGGGGAGGGCGCGCACCUAGGCGGCUGCCGCAGUUGCGCGCUGGGAUUGUUGCCGUGAGCUGGCGCCGGAGCUGACUAAGGCUUUGGAACAGAAACCAGAUGAUGCACAAUAUUAUCGUCAAAGAGCUUAUUGUCACAUUCUUCUUGGGAAUUACUGUGGUAAUUUUUCUUAUAAGAUGGAGUUUUGCUCUUAUUGCCUAGGCUGGAGUGCAGUGGCACAAUCUCAUCUCACUGCAGCCUCUGCCUCCUAGGUUCAAGUGAUUCUCCUACUUCAGCCGCCCAGGUAGCUGGGACUACAGGUGUAUGCCACCAUGCCUGGCUAAUUUUGUAUUUUUAGCAGAGAGGGGGUUUCACCAUGUUGGCCAGGCUGGUCUCAAACCCCUGACCACAGGUGAUCCGCCCACCUCAGCCUCUCAGAGUGCUGGAAUCACAGGCGGGAGCCACUGCACCUGGCCAAAUUACAUAAAUGAUGCUAAUGAGAAAAGGAGAUGAAUUUUGUCACACAGCUUUAUUCACUGACCGAAGAGCUUUAAGAAGGAAGCUAAAUGUUAAGCCAAAAGGAAGGUACAAGAGUAAUAUUUAUUUGAAUUCUGUGUUGGAUUAGCUUUUCCUAAUUUAAAACCAUUGGGCGUUUCUGUCAACUCAAAAACUUAGAAAUCUAAAACUGAUCCGUAUUCUGUGUGUAUUUGCUAGAAUCUGUAAAUAACUGACAAAAAAACAUCUUUCUCUUUUUUUUCUUUUUUU
Molecule: RNA transcript, 1563 nt
Organism: Symphalangus syndactylus (siamang)
Lineage: Eukaryota; Metazoa; Chordata; Mammalia; Primates; Hylobatidae
Gene name: protein SGT1 homolog
Source: RefSeq, a predicted model, not a curated record